RNAcentral lists this unclassified non-coding RNA (219 nucleotides) under Hevea brasiliensis (rubber tree). Lineage: Eukaryota; Viridiplantae; Streptophyta; Magnoliopsida; Malpighiales; Euphorbiaceae. The record is from RNAcentral.
GCAUUAUCAGAUCUAAAUGUUUGAAAUGAGGAAUGAAAAUGAACUUUGACCAUGAAAGUAAAAGCUUUAAGAACUGAAAAAGUAUUGCCUUUGCAAGAGAGUAGAUGAGUCCAAGUGGCUCUAGAGUAUUUAUCCACUCGAGUUAAAAAAUAUCUGAACCCGUCAUAAGUUUUGGUGUUGUAUGGGCCCCAAGUGUCUACAUGAACAAGUUGAAAAGGU